GCAGCAAUUGUGGAUGACUUUCCUUUAAUUAUGCAUGAGCCCCAGAGUCUACUGUAUAAAGAAUCUGUAACCAAGAAUCCAGAUCACACAUUGGUCUGUCCUCCUUGACACCUAUAUGUUCUCACUAUGGCUCAGAUGCCCAUGUGACUUUUUGGAAGAACAUAAUGAAAAGAAUUCGACUUUUGAUGAAUUUCUCAUGUUUUUCACCACAUUGAGAUGCACAUGUCGUUUGUGUCCUGGGAUAUCCGCAGGAAAUAAGCCUUUCAACAAAGAGAAUCCGCAAUUCCAGUUGCCACAGUCAUGUUCAAAGUUAGACUGCCAGCAGGUUCUGAGGGUGAGGGGAGACUCAGGAGAUGGAGCGAGAGGUAGAUGGAAUAGAUUGAAAUGAAGAGAAAGUGCUUCAAGAGAGGAGGGAGGAGCAGCGCACCUGCAGAGUGAGUUAUACUAGUACCUGCAAGAAUGCUGAGCAAGGACAUGUUACCAGAACUUUCUGUGAGGAAAAUCUUCUGUUUGGCACUACGAAAACAUAUUAAAUAACCUCCAAAGAGUUACUAAUGAUUGGCGUAUGCAGCAGGAUCACCGCUCCUGUAAACAAUAUCUUCUCGGCACACACCUACUAAACAAAUAAAUCAGUCUGGCUGCCUGAGGUGUAAAGUCAGAGGUUCACAGCAGAAAACAAACAGCAUAAAAAUUAUUAUUGACUCCUUUGUACUACUGUAAGAAUCUAAUUCAUUUUGCCAAUGAAUAAUAUGGCCUCAUUUAUUCAGCUACUGUAUGUGUUAUGCUUAUCUGAAACUAAAUAGCACUGACCAUGGGAAAGUAAAGUGAAGGCUUGGAAUAAGCAAACAGCCGGGCUGCCAUCAGAAAUUAUGAUGCCCAGUACUAAUAGAACAGACAGGGCCCACCUCAUCCCUCCCCCCCAGCCUCUGACCCUUUGGAUGCAGAGGUCCAACGAGCCCUGGCUCCCAGAACAGGCACAUGCUAUGAUGUCCCUUCCCGCAUGAUGUGCAAAACUGCGCUAAAGCCAUUGUAACUAAUGACAAUGUAGUUUAAGCAGAUGAUGCAGAGAAAACGCUUGUCCCCACACUGUGCUUGUUCCGGAACCAAGCAUAUGCAAAUACGGUUGCAUCCACACACAUGACCCGACUGUAACAGGGUGUUCUCAUAUAGGCAGAGUUCAGAGAGGGCGUGUCAAGGCAUCUGUGGGCUAUGCAGAGUUGGAUAAAAGCGGAAAUGUGCAUGUGCCCAGGUGUAUUUUUUGCAUAUAGUUUAGGGCUAGUGCCAAGUGCGCACCGAUGAUGAUGAUGACUGAUAGGAACAUAGCGUACCGUUAUGGUGCAGCGCAAGAUGCGUACAACUCUCUGCAUGGAUAAAUAUAACACACUCGAUUUACGUAAACUCUCCAUCAGACUGUACCUGCGGUAUGUACAGAUGUGUCCUCAUACAUCUUUGCUCCAUCGCAUUACACAUAACGAGUGAGUGCCGUGUG
This is a long non-coding RNA of Pseudophryne corroboree (corroboree frog), 1489 nucleotides long. RefSeq lists it as uncharacterized. The transcript is spliced from 3 exons. The record is from RefSeq and is a predicted model, not a curated record. NCBI's taxonomy places the organism in Eukaryota, Metazoa, Chordata, Amphibia, Anura, Myobatrachidae.